This 70-nucleotide ribosomal RNA is filed under the name Priestia aryabhattai. Its description in RNAcentral is "partial 16S ribosomal RNA". It matches the Rfam family "Bacterial small subunit ribosomal RNA", at positions 1 to 69 of the family's 1533-position model. Lineage: Bacteria; Bacillati; Bacillota; Bacilli; Caryophanales; Bacillaceae. The record is from RNAcentral.
UUCUUCGGAGAGUUUGAUCCUGGCUCAGGAUGAACGCUGGCGGCGUGCCUAAUACAUGCAAGUCGAGCGA